ACGGAGGAUCCAAGCGUUAUCCGGAUUUACUGGGUUUAAAGGGUGCGUAGGCGGAUUGAUAAGUCAGUGGUGAAAGCCUAUAGCUUAACUGUAGAACUGCCAUUGAUACUGCCAGUCUGGAGUAUGGUUGAGGUAGCUGGAAUGUGUCAUGUAGCGGUGAAAUGCUUAGAGAUGACGCGGAACACCAACGGCGAAGGCAGGUUACCAACCCAUUACUGACGCUGAGGCACGAAAGCGUGGGGAUCAAACAG
RNAcentral lists this ribosomal RNA (251 nucleotides) under uncultured prokaryote. RNAcentral's name for it is "partial 16S rRNA". It matches the Rfam family "Bacterial small subunit ribosomal RNA", at positions 525 to 775 of the family's 1533-position model. The record is from RNAcentral.